CUCCCGUUCAUGGUCUCACACCCCAGGCCUGCCCCGCUCCUUGCCUCUUGACCACGGCGCCCGGGUUCAAGGAAGUUCCAUUGAAAACAAAAUAUUGAAGCUCCUGGCCCUUGGGGCAGGGAACAGGCCACACGGCUCAAAGUUCCGAAGGCAAAGACAGAGCCCCUGGCGUUUCCUAUUCAGCUCCCGAUUUCUAAGCCAACCUGGCGAUCUUGGCAGGGGAACCUCCUGAGACGCGAAUUCUCAGGACAGGGCUUUUUUGUUGUUGUUGUUUUUGUUUGCAGAGGUGACAAACGCGAGGCCCAAGGCUACAGCUGUCGCUUCCGUAAAAUUGAGAAGUGAAACCUGGUCGUGUGGGGCAGCACCUCCUCGCUCUUCCUCUGACAUCUUCACAAGGAUGUGGCCACUUCCGCUCUGCUUUUCCUGCCUGCUUAGUUUUUGCUCUAUCAGUUGGCCUCUCGCACAGGGGGGAAUCGCCAGCAGCCCUGGGGAAGGAAAGAUGUGGAGGAAACUCGCUUUUCAGGAGGCCCCAGCCAACAUAAACAGGAAAUCUCUAUGUCUGUGCCCAAGGGCGGCGAUGCACAACAGCCCCUUAACCUCUCAGAGCACUUUGCCCAGCUGUCCUGGUAUGAUGCCUUGGCUGGGACAUGGGUGCCGAUAGCCGUCAUCCGUCCAGGGAAAUCAAACCUGCUCCACAGCUUCUUCGCCAGGCACAUCUCUGUGUCCAACAGAUGGUUCACCGUGAUGAACGCCAGCAAAGCCAUUGCAGGGGUUUAUAAGAUUGAAUCUGAGAUGCAGAAAAGCAAGUGUCUGGUUUUCAUCCAUCUGAUUGUAACAGAGCCUGCGCCAACCUCAGCGCCAUCCUCAGCUCCGGCCUCCCAGGUGGCCCUGGUCAGCAUUGGGACUGCAGCUGCGGAGCCCGGAUCUUGGUCCAGCCGUAUUGCGGAGGCGGUGGUGGUGCCGGUCGUGGGGGCAGUGAUGGUGGUGGCGCUGCUGAUAUGGCAGAAAAAGAAUAUUGCUCGCUGCACGCACUGAUUCUGCAGCCAUCAUGACUUCCCUGCCAGAGCCGCCCCGUCCCAGCAGGCCAGCGACUCAGGCCUCAUGCAGGAGAUGCAGGAGCUGGCAGAGUUGACGCAGCCAGAGGAUGCCAGAGGUGGGGAUCGGUCGGCCAUGCUGAAUGGGAAACUUCUCAGCAGCGCUGAAAUGCUAAACGCUGGGGGAGUGGAGAAUGGGGAGGGAUGAACCUCUCCCCAUCCCUCAACAUCCACUCAAUGUGCAGCAACAGUCAAAAAAGCAAACAGAAUGUUGGGUCUCAUUAAGAAAGGGACAGAAAAUAUCAUAGAAUAUCAGGGUUGGAAGAGACCUCAAGAGAUCAUCUAGUCCAACCCCCUGCUCAAAGCAGGACCAAUCCCCAACUAAAACAUCCCAGCCAGGGCUCUGUAAAGCCUGACCUUAAAAACCUCUAAGGAAGGAGAUUCCACCACCUCCCUAGGCAACCCAUUCCAGUGCUUGCAUCUUUAUGUUGCCUCUGUAUAAAUCCAUGGUACUCCCACAUCUUGAAUACUGGGUGCAGAUAUGGUUGUCCCAACUCAAAAAAGAUAUAUUGUGACUGGGAAAGGUACAGAAAGGGGCAAAAAAAUGAUUAGGGGUAUGGAACGGCUUCCAUGUGAGGAGAGAUUAAUCAGACUGGGACUUUUCAGCUUGGAAAAGAGACGGCUAAGCGGGGAUACGAUGGAGGUCUAUAAAAUCAUGACUGGUUUGGAGAAAGUAGAUAAGGAAGUGUCACCAAAUGAAAUUAACAGGCAGCUGGUUAAAACAAAUAAAAGGAAGUGUUUCUUCA
Molecule: long non-coding RNA, 1840 nt
Organism: Gopherus agassizii (Agassiz's desert tortoise)
Lineage: Eukaryota; Metazoa; Chordata; Testudines; Testudinidae
Source: Ensembl